GGGUGGGAGAGCAGAGGAGAAACGUGUAAUCACCCAAACAACCAUUUUCUACCCAUUUCACCCCCUCUGGAUCUGUGUCGCAAGUCUGCCGUGAGCUUAUCUGUCUUCCACUGCGGAUACCGUAAAGAGAGGCCGGACCGUGAGGAAGACACCAAUAGGAAGAAGAGGAAAAUCAGAUGCCCGGGAGGACAGCAAAUCGCGUGCCAAAAACACAUUACUCCUGAAGACCAAUUUGCACGAUUGUGUGGUGGACAGCAGCACGGCGGCAUGGCAGAGGGUGGGCUCGUCUGUCUGUGUCGGCCUCUGUGCCACGGAGGCCCCAGCAGGGUCGGGGGGAGCGGGGGCUCAGGGUGCCAACACAAAUGAGCUCCAUUCAUUUCCCCACUUCGGCAUAUGGUGGCCCAUUGUCCUCGACCACAGAGGCAGAAGUGAUGCAAUUUGUUGGCAUGUCCUGUCAUUUUCACAAACUGCCCAUCCCACUGAGGCUCUGGCCAGCAGAAGACAAGCAAGGGCAGCUUGUUGUUUCACCCAAGCCCCACCAUAACAUGAAAUGAUGGUGAACUAGAAAAUGAUGGCAUCCUUGAACUUGACUUUGCUGAUGGGACUAUGAUCAGAUUAAGGAAAAGUGUUUUAAUAACUUGUUGAAGUAAGUUUGUUUUUUUACUUCAGGAACAUGUCAUUCUUACUACGAGUGUUUGUUGUUCAUUAGUUAAACUUCAUAAGAUUCUGGUUAACACUAAAUAUAUUUUUCAACCCUUUGUGUUUUCUUGACAUUGACACACACACCACUGCUGUAUGUGUCAAGAUGAUAACAUUAAUUAAUAUAUGUAUAGAAAAGUAAUACAGUUGUAACGCUUCCCUUUGCAACAAACUGGGCUUGCACAUUUCACCAGUGACAAAACAACAAUGACCAUUUUUAUUACAACAAAUAAGUCAAUAUUUCAUGCUUUUACACAAUAUGAGUUAUGCAUGAAUACAUUUGAAUUGUUCUUCUCCAAGUAAAAACAAGGGGACUGGAGCACACUGACUGAGCUGCCUGUAAUAGUGCAAACAGACAGAAACAUCACAUCAGUUUAAAAUCACGUUUCUCAGCAAUUCUCAUAAAACUCGGAAAAGUAAAAUUACUAAAAGUAAUUAUGUGAAAAUAAAUAGUUUUUAUAAUUCGUCAUAAACAGUAAGUUCCAGUCAGGAUGCACACCUCAAAGAGGUUUCAGGGAAAUUGAAUAUAAGGAUGAAAAGAAAGACAGGAUGUGGAAAUAUGUAUAAGAAACUUUGACAUUUGUGGCAAUCUGUAACGUGUAAUAAAAAAGUUUCUAGUGGAAAUGCAUUUUAAGGUCAGGUGUAAACACAAUCUAGACUCAUGCUUGUUAGCGCCAGGUGUAAAGAGGCCCUAUGAGUAUUAAUCUUCCUCUUGGCUGUCGUCGGGCUGAUUUAGUCGCCCAUGUUGGGUCAAGGCCCUCAUUCUUUUCUUAAAGACCUCGCUUCCCUGCCAAACCGGGAUUUCCGAUUGAGGGGGCCUCAAUAACAACUUUGAUGUGGACGGCGUCCUAGAGGGUGAAGUGAAAGGCGAGAGGGAGGAGGGCCGCACAAUGGCCCGACCUUCCUACUGCAUCUGCACAGAUCACACUCUAAAUGGUCACAUUGAUGCUGCUGCUUAGCUCUUUGCUGCGAGUCCUGAUGGAGCCAACACUAGGGGACCGGGACACAGCAAAGCCUGGGCACCUGCCGACAGACAGGGACAAAUUGAUUGAGAGCAGGCCAGCUCUUAUUGCAUUUAACCCCCCGCACUUACCAGUUAGUUCUGCUUAAAGCAACGCAUCAGUAAACUGGAACGGAAGUGUAAAUAGAGGAGCUGUUAAAACAAGUUCCCCCAAUAAAACAAUUUAC
Long non-coding RNA from Cottoperca gobio, 1887 nucleotides. Lineage: Eukaryota; Metazoa; Chordata; Actinopteri; Perciformes; Bovichtidae. The record is from Ensembl.